UGAGGAAUAUUGGACAAUGGAUGGAAAUCUGAUCCAGCCAUGCCGCGUGCAGGAAGACGGCCCUAUGGGUUGUAAACUGCUUUUGUAUGGGAGCAAUAAGGUCUAUGCGUAGACUGAUGAGAGUACCAUACGAAUACGCAUCGGCUAACUCCGUGCCAGCAGCCGGGGUAAUACGGGGGAUGCAAGCGUUAUCCGGAUUUAGUGGGUUUAAAGGGUGCGUAGGCGGGUUGAUAAGUCAGCGGUGAAAUAUUUCAGCUUAACUGAAAGGGUGCCGUUGAUACUGUCAGGCUUGAAGAUGGUUGCUGUGGGUGGAAUGUGUGGUGUAGCGGUGAAAUGCUUAGAUAUCAGACAGAAUAUCGAUUGCGAAGGCAGCCCACAAAGCCAUUAUUGACGCUGAUGCACGAAAGUGUGGGGAUCAAACA
RNAcentral lists this ribosomal RNA (422 nucleotides) under uncultured prokaryote. RNAcentral's name for it is "bacterial SSU rRNA". It matches the Rfam family "Bacterial small subunit ribosomal RNA", at positions 355 to 774 of the family's 1533-position model. The record is from RNAcentral.